Molecule: transfer RNA, 35 nt
Filed under: Poa glauca
Lineage: Eukaryota; Viridiplantae; Streptophyta; Magnoliopsida; Poales; Poaceae
Also listed under: 2 other names
Description: partial tRNA-Phe
Source: RNAcentral
CAAGAAAAGGUCAGGAUAGCUCAGUUGGUAGAGCA